Molecule: long non-coding RNA, 4561 nt
Organism: Parus major (Great Tit)
Lineage: Eukaryota; Metazoa; Chordata; Aves; Passeriformes; Paridae
Exons: 2
Source: RefSeq, a predicted model, not a curated record
UAAACUAGUUUAAACUUCAACUUUUUAAUUCAGUGAUUUAAGAAAACUUUCUAAUCUACACACUCACACUCCUGGUUUCUCUAUUUAAGAGUUGUUUCCACGGUGUUACAUGAAAUUCAGUGUUUUAUUGGAUGUCAGAGCCAGGUAUCAGAGAUAAGGGCACACACUCUGUGCCUCUGGCUCAACUUUUGAGCAUGCCUAGUCUUUUAAACCUCAGCCAACUCAAAAUCCAGGUUGCAGCCCCCUGAGCUUUUGUCUGACACUGUGUUAUCUGAAGGUGGGUGGUAAAACAUAAGGGUGCCGUGCAUCUUUACUGCCUGUUUCUGGAACAUGUCAACAAAUUAUCAAUUUACCCUUAAUUUCGUGAUGCAACCCACACCAAAAAAAAAAAAAAAGUGGCAAAAUAUUUUCCACUUUGCUCUGCAUUUAUUCAGCUUUGGGGAUUUGGGGGAAACAUCAGUAUCCCCAAGUCCAACAUCCCAGUUUCCCUCAUCAUUUGGAAGCACAUUGAAGGGAAGAAUCAGCACGAAGAGAUUGUACUGAAAAUUUCCUUCCCAGGGUUCUGUCAUCCUGAGGAUGGAAAUUUCCAUUUUCAAAUGGAAAGGUGGAGGAAGGAACCCAGGCUGAGCUGUAAGAAAAUUCUGUAAGAAUUUGAAUGGGAAAGGGGCAGAUCCCUGGUGCUGCUGGCACUUUCACAUGCCAUGCUUUUCCUGGACACAAGGUCCUUCCUAAUUGCUUGAUAUUAGUUACAUGUUGUUCUGCUUUAGUCAAAGUUCUUGCCCCAAAUGGCAAAAAUAUGAAAUAUUUUAGUGAUUGUUUUUCCUCAGGAAGGUUGGGUAGGCCUUUCUCUGUAGGACUCGGUGCAUGCAUAGCUCGUUCAGCAGAACUGUUGUACAUGUGGUUUUACUUGAAGCAGGACACUGAUCCUGGAGAGUUAAUAUUCUCACUCUAAAUUUCAAUUUCUUUUUGUUGUGUGGAAGCUGUCUUCAGCCAACAAUUCUGGAGCUUUUGGUAAGCCUUAACCUGCAUAGUGUCUCUGUAUUUAUAUUUUUUCAUUUCAUACAUCCCCACGCUUUCCAUUAGUAAAGACAAAAGUAAAAAUUCCAAAACAUUUCAUAAAUUCUUAGAAGAGAGAAUCUAUUCCUCACAGAUUCAUUUGGGAGGGAUUCAUUUUGAAGGAACUGGAGAACAUCAAAGCCCUGAAGCUUUUAGAAAUCUUUAACUCAUCUUUUGAAAUACGAAACAUGUGUGCCAGACAGUUUUGCCAAAUGUUUACAUUUUGGUGCAUAGCUGAACUGCUGAUCAGAAGUUCAAAUGCUCUUUGUUCCCAAUUUCCCACUAUUAUUCACACUCUGCCCAAACCCAGGAACACCAGCAGUGUUUCCAUGUCACAGGGAGCAGAGAGUGCUCAGCACUUACAGCUCCAGAGUGUACAAUCAGUGAUUCCUCCCUGCAUUUUUUUCUUUAUUAUGCACAAGGCAGAGCAGUAUAAACCCCUCAUGCUCAAGGAAAACACCUUUCCCAAGACAAUAAAGUGCCUCAUCUUGGUGCCUCAGAACAGAAAAAGUGGCUGGAAUGUGUCUGCCACCAGAUUUUCCUGCCCUGUGAAAUCCCAGAAAUGUCCUUUGCCCCAUCUCUCUCCCAAGGGCUGUCCUAGAUUUAAGGUAGACACCUCCUGUUGAUUAUUAAUCCUGCUCUGUGUAACAACUCCCUCUGCAAAGAUUACUGACUGCAGAGGAAUUGCUGGAGCAGGAAAGCCAAUCCAGAUAUUUAUUUGGGCUCCAGAAGUUCAGGAAGAUGAACAUCAGAGCAAGCAAUGGGCCCUACUGAGGGAAGUGAAACAUCAGCUGACAGAUUUUGUUACAGUAUUGUGGAAUGUGCCAUGAAAAAGGACAACAAUGAUGAUUUUGAGAUCUUCCAUGGCACAACUUCCAGUGUUCCACGAGAUGCAAAGUGGGAUUCAGCAAGCAUAAACCAGGAGGGGAAGAGGCAAUAGGAAGCUGAUUAAAAAUUCAAAAUCUUUGUCUUCACUGAGCUUUGGAACAGACUCUGUAGGAUCACAACAGUGUUCAUAUCCCUCCCUUCAAACCCAAAUGCACUGAAUUCACCAAGACAUCUGAUCACACUUUUGCUACUCUCCUGCUCAGCUAAAAGCCAAAGAAGAGAACUAAAGCAUAACUUAAAGAAAAUAUUCCCAACAGGAGUUUACUGGAAGGAAAAACAUAGUUGUAUCUCGUCUGGAAGGUAAAACAGACAAAGGAAUAUUCUGUGAGACAGUAACAAACACCAAACAGCUUUUACAUCAGAAAAGCAGAGAAAUGGCCUCUCACAACUUGCUGAACUAAUUGUUGAACUGGCAACUGGUCAUUUUGAGAUGUGACUGACCUUUGGAUUUCAGGAACCUUCAGACUUCAAACAGUUCCCUAAUUGCAGCCAUUAAGAGUUACCAGGAAAAAGGAGCACCAAGGAACUCUGCAAGUACUGAGAUCUUUCUUUCCCCUGGCCCUGGCAUGUUUUCAGCACUUUCUGCUGUACUGACUUUAAUUAGCUGACCACAAAUCUUGCUUAGGUUUUUAUUGCUACAUUUAGAAAUAGGUAAAGCCACCAGCCACUGCUGAAGGAUGGUGGCAGGGAAAUGUUUUUGAGCUGUCACCAUACAGAACUACCAAAAAAAGGAGACACCAGGGGUGAUACUGUUAACCCUUGAUCCCAGAGAAGUUACCAAGUGGGGAAAAAAGGCAAAAAAUUACAGUGAAACACACAAAUGUGGGAAGGUCUACAUCUAGCAAUAAAAAUUUUGAAAAAUAUCUUAUUUCACAAUGAAGAAUUUCCAGAGCAAGCAUUCUGGAAGAGUUUCCUAACCUCUCUUGAAAGGUUUUCUAAACUUUCUAGAAAGUAAAGGUCCCACAUUGCAAUUAAAGAGCUUCAAAUCCUUGAGGAUGACUCCUGAGGUCUUGCACAGAGCUGGAAACAAGCUGUCACUUUCCUAACUUGUGUAACACAACAAUGGGCUCAUUCAUCUCUUUUUUUACAGAUUCUGACAGGCUUUUAUCAGUGCUCUACUCAGCAGAGGUCACAAUAGCAUUGGUAAGGCAAGAGACACUCGUGCAAUUAAAAGUAAAAAAAGCUGCAGAUCUCUCCAUGCUAUCCAUGACAGAACCAGCAGGAAAAAAUAGAGACCCAAGGAAAUUUCUGCCCUCCUAACAAAAACACACUAGCCUAAUGGACAGGAUCACAAGCUGUCUAAUAAAUGGCUUAAAUUAUUUAUUGGCAUUGCAAUAAAGCAAAUCCACUUAGAGGCAUAUGAGUAAAAAGGAAACCCACAGCUUUCCAGACAUAUUUUCCAGACAGUAUGUCAAGUUCCCAUAAUUUUGUUCUACACACUUUUGCAGCUCCUCCUCUACUUUCAUAUUCAUGGAUGUAUCUCCCUGAAAUACUGUGGUGACUAGAAGUGCCAGCUUCACAGUCUUUAUUGGGAAGAAAAUGCAGAAAUAGCAUUUAGGGAGGCUGGAGUUAUGUAUGUGUACAUUGUUUAUCAGAUCUGCUUGUCCCUGCAAAGAAUGAAAAACCAAAAUCAUAAAACUCCUCGAAAUCAAGUAACCCAGCUUGUCUGAAGAGGAGCAGCAGGAUUCAAACUGUGCUGAGAAACUUGGAGUUAGCACUCAAGGUUAUUUGACAUCUUUUUAUAGUUAAGUAUACUUGUUUUGUUACCAUUUAGAGAGAAAAGCAAGCUUCACUCCUUUGCAAUCUCCUGGUUUGACAUUUUUUUUAUCCCCCAGACUUCCUAAAAGUCCCCUGACAUAGCACAGAAUGCUUUAGACCUAAGUGAAAGAACACAAAGCUGAAUUUCUGCACUUAAUUGAUUCUCCUUAAAAAUAAUGGCCACAGGGGUGGGAGGCCAGGAGGCUCAGGGGAUUAGCAAGGGAUAUGAAAUAUUUCCACUCUAAGUCAAUGGUUCACAACCAGUCCAAGUCAGCACAUGCUUGGAAAACCAUUUGAUGGCCCAUGUGAAAUGAGCUGGUGGUCUCAGUAAAACUCCUGCUAGGCACAUGUCUGCAAGUUGAUUUUCUUGUUUGAGGCCUCUGAAAGCACUCCAAAAGGAAAUAAUCACUGACAUCUAAGUGUAAGGUACAUGAAGAGGUUUUUUUGGGGUGGCAAGGAACAAAACCAGCUGUUCAAAUCUGAGCAGUGUAGGAGCCUGGACUGGUGGGAUUUUUGCAAUGGAGAAGUUACCUUGUUGAGCUGGAAGUGCACAUAAACACAUCUAAAGAGAUCUUGCAUUAUGCAUUACCUCUCACUGUGGGGACAGUCGAGGUUUUUGGGAGACACAGAUGAAUUGGAUCAGUCACCACUGAAGCAGAUGCAGCUCAGAGCAAAAGGAAGGAAUUGUUCAGCAAGACAGCACCAAACAAUGGGGUCCAACAAGCACAGGGAGGAGGAAAAUGAACAGUUUUGGCUAGGUAGGACAUAAGUGAGUGAAGUUCUCUCUCUCCAUCAAGUCAUUACACCUCUAUGCCAGAUAAAAAUGUCACAAGCUCAGCGUUAAAACUCAGCUACUCCA